GAUUACUCCUACGGGAGGCAGCAGUGAGGAAUAUUGGACAAUGGGUGAGAGCCUGAUCCAGCCAUCCCGCGUGCAGGAAGACGGCCCUCUGGGUUGUAAACUGCUUUUAUUCGGGAAUAAACCUACUUACGUGUAAGUAGCUGAAUGUACCGAAGGAAUAAGGAUCGGCUAACUCCGUGCCAGCAGCCGCGGUAAUAAU
This 199-nucleotide ribosomal RNA is filed under the name uncultured bacterium. RNAcentral describes it as "partial 16S ribosomal RNA". It matches the Rfam family "Bacterial small subunit ribosomal RNA", at positions 331 to 526 of the family's 1533-position model. The record is from RNAcentral.